AUUGAACGCUGGCGGCAGGCUUAACACAUGCAAGUCGAGCGGGGUGAUGGUGCUUGCACUAUCACUUAGCGGCGGACGGGUGAGUAAUGCUUAGGAAUCUGCCUAUUAGUGGGGGACGACAUCUCGAAAGGGAUGCUAAUACCGCAUACGUCCUACGGGAGAAAGCAGGGGAUCACUUGUGACCUUGCGCUAAUAGAUGAGCCUAAGUCGGAUUAGCUAGUUGGUGGGGUAAAGGCCUACCAAGGCGGCGAUCUGUAGCGGGUCUGAGAGGAUGAUCCGCCACACUGGGACUGGGACACGGCCCAGACUCCUACGGGAGGUAGCAGUGGGGAAUAUUGGACAAUGGGGGGAACCCUGAUCCAGCCAUGCCGCGUGUGUGAAGAAGGCCUUAUGGUUGUAAAGCACUUUAAGCGAGGAGGAGGCUCUUUUGGUUAAUACCCAAGAUGAGUGGACGUUACUCGCAGAAUAAGCACCGGCUAACUCUGUGCCAGCAGCCGCAGUAA
This 503-nucleotide ribosomal RNA is filed under the name uncultured bacterium. Its description in RNAcentral is "partial 16S ribosomal RNA". It matches the Rfam family "Bacterial small subunit ribosomal RNA", at positions 30 to 523 of the family's 1533-position model. The record is from RNAcentral.